RNAcentral lists this ribosomal RNA (253 nucleotides) under uncultured bacterium. RNAcentral describes it as "partial 16S ribosomal RNA". It matches the Rfam family "Bacterial small subunit ribosomal RNA", at positions 524 to 776 of the family's 1533-position model. The record is from RNAcentral.
AACGUAGGAGGCAAGCGUUAUCCGGAUUUACUGGGCGUAAAGCGUGUGCAGGCGGUUCGGCAAGUUGGAUGUGAAAUCUCCCGGCUCAACUGGGAGAGGUCGUUCAAUACUACCAAACUUGAGAGCAGUAGAGGAAGGUGGAAUUCCCGGUGUAGUGGUGAAAUGCGUAGAUAUCGGGAGGAACACCAGUGGCGAAAGCGACCUUCUGGACUGUUUCUGACGCUCAGACACGAAAGCUAGGGUAGCAAACGGG